Molecule: long non-coding RNA, 13008 nt
Organism: Camelus dromedarius (Arabian camel)
Lineage: Eukaryota; Metazoa; Chordata; Mammalia; Artiodactyla; Camelidae
Exons: 13
Source: RefSeq, a predicted model, not a curated record
GUGAGCACCAUCCCACCACUAUUCUUCCCCGGCCCCAGGCAAGGCCAAAGUGGAGCCCCAGCUGAAUCCAGUGUGCAGAUUUCCAGCCCGCAGAACCCGUUUCAUCCCACCCUGUCCCCUAAGAGGCACGGUCCACGGCCAGCUGGCGCCCCUGCUGGGAGGUCUGGUCCCAGACGCUCGGCCCUCGCUCCUCCCAAGUCUGAGUUCCCGCUCUGCAGGGCCCCUCGGUGCGUCUGAGUGUUCCGUCUGCUCCCUCAGCCAGAGGAACGGAGGCCGCUCCCUGGACUUGCUGCCUCUGUCCCAUCUCAGGGGUCUCCUUUUACCCCCUUCCGUUACUAGUUUAGUUAACAGCUUUAUACGGUGUUUUCUGUUAAAUGCUCUCUGUUCCACGCCUCUCCUCUUCCCCCACCCCCACGCCAAGUGUUUCUGUUUGUAGUAGGAAAAAAGGAAGACAACUCAGUCUUGAUAGGGAAGAGUGAACAUUGGUGGAGAGAGAGCUGACAUCACCCGGCUGUCAAGCGGACGGACGUGCCCCGUGUCCACUCCACCCCUGUCUUUCCCAGUUUCCUGAGCCCCAGGUUCCCCUUUGUGUUUAAGCAAGUAUGAGUUGGGUUUCUGUCACGUUCGACUGAGAGAGCCCUGACUAAUAUGGCUGAGGCGAAGCGUCUCGGAACUGAGUCGUCUAGAGUCAAGGCUAGAGGAAGCUUACCCAUGUCCAAGAUCACACAGGCUGAAAUCACCUCGCUGGUGGGAAGGGCUGCCAGACAGCAGGAACCAGCUCCCAUCUUCGGACCUGCCCUAGGAAAGGACAUUGGGGAAAUUGAAACCAGAGAAGAGUGACUUCUCCAAGGUUACACUGCUAAUCCCCUGCAAGCCCAGGAUUACAACUCCAGUCACCUGACUUCCAGUCCAGUCCAUCUCCAGAGCCAUUCUGUGGGCAAGAAUCCUGAAAGGUCCAAUGACACCUCCAUAGGGAACACCAGAGUUUGGCUUCCCAGCCCUACCACCGUCCCCAGCACUGCCUCCACAGCCCUGAGGAAGACCCGACUCCUGGAGGGAGACUGGCUUACUGGCUUCAGUGGCCUGCACCAGCCCAGACAGGUCAAAGAGCAGGAUUCCAAGCAGUUGAGAUGGUCUCUGGAGAAGCCUGGAAUUUCCCUGUGACACAGAAGUGGCAGAAAGAGGUAGGGUCUCCAGGCAGCCAGGGCCAGGGGUCACCAGCACCCCAGGUUCCCUUGGUAUGUGGGGCACUUCUCAGGGUGGGAAGGGGCCCCCAUCUGUUUGGUGAACCUGGCCAUUGGUUCCUGAAUCUCUGCUUGCAAGGAGCCUGAGGGACUCAUGUCCCAGGAACACCGAGUCAUCACAGAGCAUUUACAUCCAAAAUCCAUUUUCCUUCAGAACAGUGCCCGGGAUGGAGUAAGUGAAGGUGAGCCUCUACACACUGGUAAAUCUGUGAUUUGUCUGUACGAUAACUGGGCCUUUAGAACUGACAAGGGGGUUUCCUAUAUGAUUCUUGCAAGAGAGCUCUGCAGAGUUCCUGGAAAAUCCCCUAUCAGACACUGCCAGGAAACAGGGCUUCCCCAGAAGUGACAGUGGUAGACAACCAUUCCAAAAAGACCCUGGGCUCCUCGUCUGAAACACAGGAAAUUAGGAAAGGUGGUUCUGUAAGGCUGUAAGCUUGGUAUUUCCCAUGAAGAUGCUCUAAAGUGAUCUCAAACUCAGUGUAUCAGCACAGACAAGAUGACCCUGCGUUUAUCUGUUUAGCUGCCUUGUUCUUCCUGUAAGCAGUGCACUCCUAAGGGCAGGGACCAGUUUAUAGUCAUCCUCCAGUGCCUGGCACGUAGCAGACCCAUGAGACAUGAGGGUGAAUGAGCAACUGGACUGACCAGCUGAGAUGGAAGUGCUGAUUCUCUCCAGCUGUGAACCUCUAACCUGUCUCCCCAGCCGGGUUGCAAGCUCCCUGGGAGCUAGGAAUAGAUCUUUUCUUCACACAGUCUCCAAGCAGGGCUGCACUCAGGACACACUCGUGUGCCCAGGCAAGUUGUUAAAGUAUUGAAAUACUUCUGUAUGGUUGCUGCCUGAGCUCCAGAGAGGCCCCCACCCCCAGAUGCCCAGCACCUCCCCCAGAGCCCCACCCCACCAUCUGGCUGCUCUAGGGUGACGCCUGACCUGGCAGGGCCUCUGAGACUCAGUCCAGCUCUGUGGCUGCAUCCUUCUGAUGGGCCGGUAUAUCGUCGUGACCUUGUUAGAUGUCUGAGUGAUGCACCAGCCUGAUGCAGGUGAUAGGGAUGCAACAGACGCUUGGAAAGCACUGCUUGUUAACUGAGAAUUGAUAUACAUGGGCUCCGGUCUCCCAGCGGACUGAAGGAGUUCUCAGCAAGAAAGUGGGUAGCGUCUGCUACCUGAUGCCAAGAAGAUAAGUUUAUGGGAUCAGUGGCUGGACAGCAGAAGGCCUUCCAAGGACACCUGCAGGUGAAGAAAAAUAUAGACUUGCUGUCCUUGCUGCCCCCAUCCCUGUCAAUCCAUCUGUUUGUCCAUCCAUCCAUUUGUCCAUCCAUCCACUGUUUGGGGACCACACUUCGGGCACAUCAGCUCCAGGAAGGCCAGAGAGCAGAUCAUGCAUCACAACGAGCGGUGCCGGAGGACGGGCAGGGGGAGCAGGAAGAGGUCAAACUUGGUGCCAGGGGGCCGGUCUGAGCCCCAGCCCCCUGAUCAGCUAGCCUGGCGACGGUACUCUCGGAGCCUGUGCUUCCUCUUCUGCGCAAGGGAUGGAGUUAAACCUACCUUCUAGCUUGCCGUGAGGCCCAGUGAAUGGAACAAAGGCUCUGAUCUGGGACCACAGUUGGGGCUUCCCCUCCUGAUAGACUCUUAUUUGGAUAAAUCAAGACUUUAAAAAUGACAGAGUGGUUACACAGCCCACAACUUCCUCAAAGACAACUCCCAGGACUGCGGCAUCAAAAUGCUUUUGCACAUGAACUUUUUUCUUCGGUUUCUCCUUUAUGGUGUUUCAGCAGGAUUAUUGCAAAAGCAUUCUCACUCCAGUCGGCUCCCUGCCCCCAGCCCUCCCCACUUGAAAGCGCCUUCCCCUCUGCAGCCAGAGGGCCCUUUCUGAAACUCCAACUGGGCCUUCACUCCCCUCCAUCGAACUCUUUUCUGUGGCUCUCCAGUACUCAGAGCAGGCUCUCAGCCCAAACUACACAGCAGAAUCACCUGGGAACUUUAAAAAUAUAUUGAUGCUCAUGCCCCAAUGAGAUCAAUUAAAUCAGAACGGGGGGUGGGGUGGGGGAGGAGGCGGACUUUAAUUAUUUUUAAAAGCUCCAGGUAAUUCAAAUAUAGAGCCACUGGUCUGAAGGGUAAAGAGAGAGAAAGCUCCUCUUUAUAGUAAAAUGCCAGCUAAUAAACUCAGAAGGAAUUAGAGAAAAUACCAUUUGCAACCACUGUUAGAAUAAUUCACACAAGCAAGUCAUCGGAUGCAAAAACCCUUGGAUAAGAGACUAUUGGGGUACAGAAUAUCACACAGUCCCCAAGUAAUCCCCCAUCCGCAGAGUGUGAGGGGGUUGUAACAGUCGUGCUCAGAACGUGGUCCCCGGGGCAGCAGCAGCACCACCUGGAGCAAAUUCUCCGGCCCACUCCGGACCUGAUGAAUCAGAAACUCCAGAGCUCCAGGUUCCAGAAAUGCUUUAAAACCCUCCAGGUGAUUCGAGUUUGAGAACCACUGCUCUUGAGGACUUUUGGGUUGGGCACCACGAUGGGCUGCUCAGACUCCCUUUGGAAGAAAGGAUUCAUCCCUGUUGCUGAGAGCACAGCCAGAAGACGCCUCCACUCUCUUCCCCGUGUGGCUGGGCUGGGCUGAAGAGACCUGCUGGCAGCGAGGGCUCACCCACCUCUCGGUGUCCCACAGUAGGUGUGGACCCUACCAGCUCCCUCCAGUACACGCCCCGUUUGCUGAUCUUCAUCCCGAGCACACUUCCCAGAGAGCCUAGCCUUGAGCAGCAGCCUUGGAGGGCUCGCUCUGGUCCUGAGGUGUCUUCAGCAGAGCCGUCUUCAUUCUCUCUGCCUGUAUCGCUCACUCACUGUGUGCAGAGCCUGGUGCUGAGAACUCCAGGUGCCUUAUUCUGUUCAGUUUUCAAGGCCACCCCAGGAUCUCCGUCUCACAGAUGGAAAACAGAGGCCCGGAGGGGUGAAUUAACAUACCAGUGUCACAGAGAAACAGCUGGGAUGAGAACCCAGCCCUCCAGCAUUUCAAGGAUCCCGGAAAAUGUUCACCACGGAGUUAGCUGUAAGGUCAAGGCGACGUGAGACAGAGAAGUGGGGAGCUCCAGAAUAGGUGAUCUCAAAGUACAACACUGCUAGCCGCCCCUUCGGACGUGCUCCUCCAGAGGCCGGCUGUGAACACACUUACUCUGAACCACGCUGAUGAUGCUCUUGCCUCAGAACCUUCAGGGACCUCAACUGGUUGUACAAAAUGAACCAGCAGGGGCUGCAUGUGUGCAGCUCACUCACAGGCAGGAGCGCUCACUAAAAGCAGAAACCAAGAAACGACAGCCUAGCGUCUUCUCAGGUAUGGGGUUUGACCUGGUGCAACAAGCACGUCACAAGGAGGAGUCUUCUAAAUAGAGACGAGGAUGCUUGUAAGUCUAAGAAUGAUGCCUCUUCCAAGCUACACGGCUGUACACGGCCGGGCUCCUCUUUGGAAUGAGCCUUCCUAGUCCAGACAAUGCCCUCGCCUGUCCUUGGGGAUGGACAGCCUCUGUUCUUUGAUGGCGGAUUUGACUUCUGAGCAGAGUCUGGUCACCUGGAGCUGGCUCAGAUGACUAAGGGAUGAUGAGGUUCUGUGAUGUUGUUGGGAGAUAAAAGCUAUGAAGGCAAAAAUAAUGGGACCGGUUUUUCUGUGUGGGCCACAGUUGGUGCUGAAGGCCCUCCCCAAAGAGGUGGUGACUUUACACUUGCGCCCGGUGAUGCGCGCGUCGUGGGAGUAGGCACACAGCCCCCUCGGGGCGCAGCGGAAGGCCGGCCUUCAUUUGGAUGCUUCAGCUCUGGGGACAGUUUUUAAAACCCUGACUCUCACAUUUAGAGCUCACUGGGAGCAACGGCAGGACUGUUUGUUCUGUCUCACCUAUCAAUUUAAAACAAAUUUAUAUUUGGUCCAAGGUUUCCAUUCUUUGGGGGCUGAAGGCAAGUGCCACCAUUUUUUUCUUCCUUCUUUUCACAUGCUUGCUUCCUCGCCCACCAGAGGUCUGCGUGUUUGUCCUUCAUGACGGCUGGAGGCAAAAGGUCCCAAGCACCAACAGUGUGCAGGCCGGUGGUCACUGGGGCCACAGGGCAGUGACUGCGGUGGGGGAGCUGCAGCACCAGACCCCAAGGACAUCUCUCUGGGAGGUCAGACACUGCCCCGGGGCCUGUCCCAGGGCCUGUCCCAGAGGUGCCCUAGAUCCGAUCCGUUCCCAGACCCCGGGCCAGGCGAGGGGGACCUAGGCCUCUGGGAUAGGGGUGUUGCAGUUCCCAUGGUAGAUCUUGACGUGGCCCUCACACCGGAAGUAGGCCUCGAAGACGUCACUGUAGCCGUGGUCCCUCCACCAGGUGCACAGCUGCCGGUUCCAGGUACAGUCCAGCACGUGGAAGAGCUCGGGGUGCUCCAUGCCGAUCAUGGUGAAGAAGUCCUGGUCCCCGAGGUGCCCCCGGAAGCGGUACUUGUCGGCCAGCUGCUGCACCUGCGCCGGCUCCAGCAGGCGGCCGUAGAGCGGGGACUGGCGCAUGGCCUCCAGGUUUACAGCUACAAAAACUGAGAGGUUCUGAGGUUCAGAAUCUCAUUGCACUGCCAGCAAGAGGCAGGGCCGGGACCUGGACCCAGGCCUCCUGCUCUUCCCACCACACUCGGCUUCCUCAGGAUGACAUACAUCAUCGUCUGCAUGGCUCAUGUUGUACAGACUUAGGAAGCACAGGUACCACACCCUAUGGGACGGGUGUUCUAAGUGACCACAUGCCACCCCACGCCCGAGGACACUGGUGCACAGAGAGGUGCAGGGACUUCGCCAAAGUCACAACCAGCCCAAGCCAGCAUCAGGCCCCAGUGUCCACUUCUGAAGAUUGCAACAAGGGGAGGAGGAGGUUUUAUUGCCAAGGCACUGGAUUCAGCCCUCAGAAAGGAGAGACCCAGGGGAAAGGAGACGGAAGUGGACAUCCCGAACUCCGUCAAGCCCACCGGUCCUUCUGUGCUCCCCACAGCUCCGUCUCCCAGGACCACCACUGCCUCCUCAGCAUCGCACACAGCAGGGCCUCAGGAAGCAUGAAGUGAUGACAAGGACUGAGGGAAAGGUCACUUCAGCUUAGGCUACGUGGCCUUCAGUGUUGUCUGGCACCAGGGACAGAAAAACGUCAGGACACAAAGUUGCUGCUGCCGAGAGAAAACCUGCUGCUUCUCUGAGCCCUGUAUCCAUCACUGGCAGGUCUAUGUGGGGUAGAGUGAGGAGUGGGGACCCACGAGGGGGUGCCCAGGUGUUUCAAAAGGGUUUGGAAGGGUUUCUACUCUUGAGCAAGCUGGGGAGCAGAGGGGCCAUUUGCAGUCCCAGGGUGCAUCCUUACCACCUUCAGCAGGGAGCUCCUCCAAGUCUUCCCUUUUACACCACAGUGACCUGCCACCAAACCUGCUGGGCUCAGGAAAGCGGGGCCGGAGGCAGAGAGAUGGACAACAUCCUUCCAGGCAGAGACCAUAACCCAGGUGGCUCUAGGGGAACUUGCUGCCUAGCACUGCGGCUCAAUCAGGAUGAAGAGGCAUUUUAUGACAUAGAGCCAGAAGGAGCCAGGUCUGGACAUCAGCACAUGAUGACUUGUAAGCAGAAGCAAAGGAGGGACAGGAAAUUGGAAAUGCAAGCUGCCUGGGGUGUCUGCUGGAGCAUCAACGCAGCCUGAAAAUGAACCACUGACUCUAAGUAGAAAAUUAUUGCCCUUGUUGAAAGCGUUCCUUCUACCCCCAAAUGAACUCAAAAACACAGAGCAGCUGCUCAGGGGAAUGGUGGGUUUCUCUGGCCUCCACAUCAGCUGGUUCUCCUGGAGGAACUGCCCCAGCCUUGGGGCAGAGAGGGGUGCAGGGACACAGAGGGGAUCAGCGCUCACGUAAAGGGCUACCAAGGUGAGAUCCCCAGUUCCUCACCCACCACAGAGCCCUCUGACAUCAUCUGCCUCCCUUCCCUCCCGGCAGCACGGGGACAGUACUGCCUGCAUUUUAACAGAAGGGAACAGAGGCCCUCAGUUGUCAGGGCUCUGACGCGAAUCCAGGGCUUCUGAUCUCCGAGAUCCCUUUCAUCUUUGACUGCCUUGGAUUCCACCACCGGCUAAUGUUCCAAGGAGCAGCUCUGGAAUUUCAAUUUUAUUUCUGAUUUGGCAGGCCACUGGUGCCUCACUGACUGGCAUGGGGAGGGCGUCAGACCGAGAGCCGCUCUGAGGUGGGCCAGGGCACCCCAGACCCUUGCCUUCCUCCCAGGACCUGGGCUGACCAUAUGGCAAUGGCAGGAGCUGAGGCUGCAGGGAACCUCUGUGUGAAGGAAGGAAUCUGGUUCUGAGUCCUAGAGCUUCCAGGACUUUCUCAGAUUAACCUCCAUGCCCACAGCCUAGCCAUGUUGCACCGCUUAAUCGUCUGUAUUUGGGCCUGUGCAGCCUUGUUCUCACCCUCCAGGGUCACCUAGAGGGGAUAAGGUUUCUUCCCUUUUAGAAACAACUUCAGCUGCGAACAAGCCCCCGUGCAGAUGGUCCACUGUAAAUACUGAGUCUUUCCAGAAGCUGACGAGGCUUGUUGGGGAAGCACAAUGAGGCACGUUCUUCUAGUUAUGGGUGAUAUGUUUUCUAAUUUUUUUUAACUUCUUUUUUGGGGAGGGGGAGGAGGUAGUUUGUUUAUUUUUAGAGGCAGUACUGGGGAUUGAACCCAGGCCCUUGUGCAUGCUAGGAAUGCGCUCUAACGCUUAAGUUAUACCCUCCCCCCUCUAAAUUUUUUAUAUCAAGUAUGUCUUAAUUAAUCGUCAUAAAAAGACUAUUAAAAAGUAGUGAAAUACAGACGUAGAAAACAAACUAAUGGUUACCAGGGUGGGGAAAGUGGGUGGGAAGAGAUAAAUUGGGAGUUCGAGAUUUGCAGAUAACUACCUACCAUACAUAAAACAGAUCAACAGCAAGUUCAUACUGUAUAGCACAGGGAACUAUAUUCAAUAGCUGUAGUAACCUAUAAUGAAGAAGAAUACGAAAAUGAUGGAAGGGGGUAGUUGAAGUAAUUUUGAAAAGCAAAGCCAUCUCCUCUCUCAGGUCUUUCCCCUGAUGAUCAUUGCCAAGGUCACUCCGCCAAGACUCUCAACCACAGACCCUGACCAGAGAACAGCGAGCUCACUUCUCCAGGGGAGAACCCGUGUUGCCAUGAACUGUCCCUCUCCCUGCCCCACCAACGAGCCUACACCCAAAUCACAGACCCUUCUGCCUCCUUAUUUCCUCAUGAGUUUUUUCUCCUGGGUUGGUCUUUCUCAGCUCCUUGGGCUCAGAGUUUUCCACUUUACUUCCAAGAGGAGAAGCAAGGAUGAGAACACACACUGGGCCCAGGCAGUCUUCACAACACCCCCCCCAGGAAGGUUCUAGAAGCCUGUGCCAGCCAACUCAGGCUGAGUUCAAGCUCUCAGGCCAAAAAGGCUCCAUCAUAGAUCUGGAUUCACAGGGACCACAUGUCGCCAUUCCUCAAGCUGAGGGCAGAGUCACUAAGAAGCCAGCAAGGCCGGCCUCCACCUGGAGGAACUGGAGGCUGUCUAAUCAGCAGAGGCCGGAAUCAGGAAACGCCACUUCCCUUAUGCCCGUGCUGUGUGCCAGGCCCAAUCAGCUAUUGUUUGACUUGGAGGGGACCCUGUUUUCUAGUCCUCUGUGAGGAAAGGCCAGGAGCGAAGAGCCAUGGUGGGAGCAGCCCAGUGUUCCAUCCAGCCCCGCCUUGCGGCCACCAGGGGCCAGCUGUGGGAGAUGUGGGGCUGAUUCAGGGCAGCGGCACUGUGUCUCGGUCCUGCUUCGGGCUGAGGCCGAAGUUCUGUGGGACGGGCGCUGACCCUGAAGUUGUCUAGGGGACAGUGCCCUGUGGUAUCAAACUGCAGAGGACACGGACCGCCUGGAAUUGUCCCCCCGCCGCCAAAGCUUUAAAUGGCCCAUUUCCCCAGGGUAUUUCUUACUGCCAAGAGUCACAACUGAGCCUUGUUAGGAUCUCUUGCUAGCAAGACCCAAAGCAGGCAGGUCUCUAACUCAGAGAGGGUGAGAAAUGUUCCCAAAGUCACACAGGUUAUCAGUGGUAGGACUGACAGGGGCUACUCAUCACCACUGUCAGCCAGCAGAGAGAGGCCCCGAAGUCCCUUCUGCCGUGUCUUUGUGAGACGUGCAGGGACGCCAGAGAGCACACUGAACUACGGGAAGAAUCAAUCAGCGAUCUCUCACAUAUUUAGCGGAGCACGGACUAGACCCAGCUGAUACGGAGGUGAGUAGAACAUCCCUGCCCUCAGGAAACUGACAGUGCAGGGGGGCCAAGACCCGGAUGUCAAUACACCAACAGUGUAUGAGGCUGUGAGAGGGGCGCUGCACCUGGAACCCGGAGACCUAGGCUAAGGACCAGCUGUGUGAGUCCUGGGCCUCUCAGGGCCUUGGCUUGUUCAGCAAGGAUGUGGGGAUGAGACUCCCCCGAGGGCCAUAGUGGACUCUAGGAGCAAAUGCAGGCACAAACCUGCCCAGCGCCAGGCCCUUUAGAGGGGCCCUGACUGUCACUGUGGGUGCCCAUUCCCAGAAGGCAGACCCCCUCCCUGCCCAGGCUCUUCUCAGGGUGUGGUGGUCUCCCAGGGACCAGCCCUCAUCCACCCACCAGCCAUCUACAGGUUUCUGUUUGACUUUGCUUCCUGCUUUAGAGAGUCUACAAUGAUGAAGGUGACCCACGUCAACUGUCUCAUUCCUAGAGCGGCACCAGCUAUAACCCAUCCACCUGUGUGGGACUCUCUCAAACCAGGCAGAGCAUUGAAAUCAUGUAGCAUGAACAUCCCUGCAUCCGGGCACUGUCAAGGCCUAGAGGCUGCUCCCCACGCCCUCAGGAGGCGGUGGGAUGCCCUUCUCUGAAGCAUCUGUCCUCUUUUCUGCCUCUCCCAUCAUUCCCUGGCCUGUCUGACAUCCCAGCCUCGUGGGCUGCCUCCCACACCUGCUGCCUUGGAGCUGGGAACAGACGGGUGAGGCAGGGAAUUCCUUGUCACUCAAUCUGACAAACAGCUCUGGAGCAGGCCAUGCCUAAACUGGGCGAGGCCCUGGAGGGCUGCAUGGAGGGGAACUGGGGGAGUGACAAGGGACAGAGGUGAUGGGGGAAGAGGCAUUGCAAGGUUCAACCAGGCAGAUGGAGCUCUGAGCGGCUUCAAGUCUAGGUUACUACAGGGAUGGUGGAGCCACUAACAGUUUGGCAAGGCUGGGAGGAGGAAGAGGGGAGUGACCCAUUCAAUCUUGAAUAGAUGCCAGAGAAAAGAGUGACAUGGAAAAGUUCUGCAGGUGGCUGGAUACAGGUCACAGGCAAAGCAGGCAGGAUGAAAUUCUAGAGGGUUCUGACACUUAGGGAAUGGAAGAAGAGGCACGAGGAAAGAUGUAGGAUGCUCUGUCUGCUGUGGGAACCCCUGAGGAGCCAUGCGGACCUCCAGCCCGACCUGCAGGCCCAUUGUGCCCAUGCAAACCCCUUGUCCCCCAGCCCUGUGACCCAGGUGCCCAAAGUGCCCCAGCCUUCCUCCCCUACCCCCUCAUCCCCAUCCAAUCCAGUGGCGUCCAGACAUUCUCUCCCCAGAUGUUGCCCUCCAAACCCUCUAACUGAUACCAGCUGACCAUUCUCUGCCUCCCAUUCAAGCAAACACUGAUCUGGACAGAAUGACACCUCGGUCCCUCCCCAGGCAGAGACCAAUCCCAAUGCCACUGCCCCAAACCCCAGGGAUGCCCCUGCCUCCCCGCUGCACACCCUUCCAGAGCUGUCCUCCCUCCUCCACCGCAGCCUCCACCAGCAGUCUAGCUGCCUCCUCACCUCCUUGCUCAUCACCUCUGCCCACCACCUAAGCCAUCUUCUCUGCUCCAUUCCUAAGGUACCCUCAAUAAUUUCAAUGGCCGUGGUGACGGCCUCACCUCGGCCUCAGGGUUUUCUGCAAGCCCCACUUGAGCUACCGACUCAGCUCCCCUCCGUGCACCUUGCCACCACAAGGCGUUCUGCUCCAGGGACAGGGAGCCGACAGAGAUGCCCUCAGACCCCUGCACCCUGCCCUCACCCCCAGGGAACCUGCCCGUCGGCCCCUUGGGAGUCUCCGGGGCCCACCUCUCCUAUUCUCUAGGCUAUCAAUCUCCCCUGGCUCCCCACCCAGCCUAAGCUGCCCCCAGCAGCUCGCCACAUGCCUGGAAUGUAACAGUGUUGAAAACGGUUGGGGAUGAAGACUCAAAAAUGCUGCAGGAGGUACCCGAGACCAUUGAGCAGUGAGUGAUGGAGACUAAGAGGUGGGACUCCUGCCCUGGGACAGAGGCAGAGAAGGCAGGUGCACCGGCAGCAAAGAAAGGGCAGAGGGAAAAAUAUUUGCUCAGAGGGAAGCUGAGUGUGUCCACACGCCAAGGGAAAGGGGUGUGGAGGCCAGAAUGAAGAGAAAAGACGCACAGAGUGAACGGCAGGGUGGCACUCUGAGGAAUGAUAAUCAUGACAAUGGCUAAUAUUUAGUGAGUGCUUACUAUGUGCCAGGCCUUGUUUUAAGUCCUCAAAUGUAUGAAACUUGUUUAAUGUUUUAAUAAACAAAUGAGGUAAGGACUCAAAUCUCCAUUUAAUAGGAAGAUAUAAAACAUAUGCCCAAGGUCAGAGGCGUCCAGGCAGGAGGGUCUGCCAAGAAGAGGGAAAUCCUGGGACACAUCUGAGACUGGAGGAGGGACAGAAGUAAGGGACAGCUCUGAGUGGGGAGUUAGGGAUAUUGGGAAAGCUCAUUUUUGGUGAACUCAAAAUCUUGGGAAGGUACGAGGUGAAGUCAUCCAGGGAAACAGAGGGGCUGGGGUGCAAAGAAGGCCUUGAGAAAGAGGAAUCGUUUAUGAGGGCACCUGGGAAACGCAGUAAGGAAUCAAUGAAAGAUGAAUGAAAGAAUCUGCCUGAGCGCUGAGGGCGUGAGUGCAGUCAGGGAGCCCAGGAGUGAUAACCGGAAAGCAUCUUACUCAUUUUUUUGUCUUGAGAGCCUGGUGUGGGCAUUUGAUUCACAGCAGUCUGCUGAGAACUGUUACGUUUCAAAUGAAUGUUUGCAUAAAUGGAUUAAAGAAUCAAUGAACAAAGGAAUAAGAAACUGUAAAAGCAAAUGGUGGAAAUUUAAAAGUGGAGAAUGUUGAAUGAAGGCAGUGGAACAACAGUUCAAAAGGUAGUUGGGGGAGAGUGUGCCCUGGGCCCUGUGGGCUGGAGCCAUGAGGGGUCUUCACUGGAGGGAGCCAGGUCCCCCUCAGGAUGAGGAUGGAGAAGAGGAGAGAGAAAAGUUGGUCCCCUUGAGACAGGAAGGAAGGGGGUAGGGCACAGCCAUUAAAGGAGUGACAGCAACGAGCCCAAGAUGGUGGAAAAGUAAACUCCCAUAGACCCUGAGGUCCAAGAUGGCGGGAGAUUCAACCUCCAGUGGACCUUGAGCUUCAUUAUACACAUUUCAAUGUACUAGCAUGGUUAAUGACACUCCCACAGGUGCCAAGACACUUUGAGGCUGACCGUGAAAGGUCAAAAAAAGGGCGGUGGCCCAGUUCCUGGGAAUCCCCACCCCUUCCCUGAAGUAGUUGGAAUAAUCCUCCUACUCAUUAGCAUAUGAAAUUCCUGAGCCCAUAGAACCUAACAACCUCACACCUUGUGGUCACUGUCUCUCUUGCCUUCUGAGACAGCCCACACUCUGUCUAAGGAGUGUGUAUCUGUUUUCACUCUAACAGCCCCCCACCCCACCUCGUGGCCUCUCUGGCCUUCUGAGAUGGCCUAUACUCGGUCUAUGGGGUGUGCAU